UACGGAGGAUCCGAGCGUUAUCCGGAUUUAUUGGGUUUAAAGGGUGCGUAGGCGGUUUGAUAAGUUAGAGGUGAAAUGUCGGGGCUCAACCCCGAAACUGCCUCUAAUACUGUUGGACUAGAGAAUAGUUGCGGUAGGCGGAAUGUAUGGUGUAGCGGUGAAAUGCUUAGAGAUCAUACAGAACCCCGAUUGCGAAGGCAGCUUACCAAACUAUAUCUGACGUUGAGGCACGAAAGCGUGGGUAGCAAACAGG
This 253-nucleotide ribosomal RNA is filed under the name uncultured bacterium. RNAcentral's name for it is "partial 16S ribosomal RNA". It matches the Rfam family "Bacterial small subunit ribosomal RNA", at positions 524 to 776 of the family's 1533-position model. The record is from RNAcentral.